CAUUCACGGAGAGUUUGAUCCUGGCUCAGGACGAACGCUGGCGGCGUGCUUAACACAUGCAAGUCGAACGAUGAAGCCCUUCGGGGUGGAUUAGUGGCGAACGGGUGAGUAACACGUGGGCAAUCUGCCCUGCACUCUGGGACAAGCCCUGGAAACGGGGUCUAAUACCGGAUAUGACCAUCUUGGGCAUCCUUGAUGGUGUAAAGCUCCGGCGGUGCAGGAUGAGCCCGCGGCCUAUCAGCUUGUUGGUGAGGUAACGGCUCACCAAGGCGACGACGGGUAGCCGGCCUGAGAGGGCGACCGGCCACACUGGGACUGAGACACGGCCCAGACUCCUACGGGAGGCAGCAGUGGGGAAUAUUGCACAAUGGGCGAAAGCCUGAUGCAGCGACGCCGCGUGAGGGAUGAC
Molecule: ribosomal RNA, 409 nt
Filed under: Streptomyces lavendulae
Lineage: Bacteria; Bacillati; Actinomycetota; Actinomycetes; Kitasatosporales; Streptomycetaceae
Description: bacterial SSU rRNA
Rfam family: Bacterial small subunit ribosomal RNA
Source: RNAcentral